Molecule: ribosomal RNA, 486 nt
Filed under: uncultured bacterium
Lineage: Bacteria
Description: partial 16S ribosomal RNA
Rfam family: Bacterial small subunit ribosomal RNA
Source: RNAcentral
AUUGAACGCUGGCGGCAUGCCUUACACAUGCAAGUCGAACGGCAGCACGGGUGCUUGCCCCUGGUGGCGAGUGGCGAACGGGUGAGUAAUACAUCGGAACAUGUCCUGUAGUGGGGGAUAGCCCGGCGAAAGCCGGAUUAAUACCGCAUACGAUCUACGGAUGAAAGCGGGGGACCUUCGGGCCUCGCGCUAUAGGGUUGGCCGAUAGCUGAUUAGCUAGUUGGUGGGGUAAAGGCCUACCAAGGCGACGAUCAGUAGCUGGUCUGAGAGGACGACCAGCCACACUGGGACUGAGACACGGCCCAGACUCCUACGGGAGGCAGCAGCGGGGAAUUUUGGACAAUGGGCGAAAGCCUGAUCCAGCAAUGCCGCGUGUGUGAAGAAGGCCUUCGGGUUGUAAAGCACUUUUGUCCGGAAAGAAAUCCUUGGCUCUAAUACAGUCGGGGGAUGACGGUACCGGAAGAAUAAGCACCGGCUAACUACGUG